AAAAAACGCGAUCUUUCACACUGAACCAGCAAAAUGUGACCCAAAAUGCUUACCCAGCUCCUCAGAGAGAACUGCUCCCACCUCCGUCUCCAUCCACCAAAAGCCGACAACUUUUCGACCACCACACUGGUGGAAGCCACAACUCUAGCCACCCUUGUUCUCAAUUCAUCAAACCCGCAAACUCUAGCCCAUUCGCUUCACUCUCCCGCCAUCCAAUGGACCCCGCAGCUAGUCAAUGCAGUCCUUAAAUGUCUCUGGAACCACGGUCCCAAGGCCCUUCAAUUCUUCAACCUCCUUUCCCACCAUCCUUCCUACUCCCAUCACGCUUCCUCCUUUGACCACGCUAUCGACAUCUCUGCCCGCCUCCGUGAUAAUCGCACCGUCUGGGCUCUCGUUUCUCGCAUGCGCUCUAGCCGCCUCGGAACCUCCCCGAAGACCUUCGCAAUUAUUGCUGAAAGGUAUGCUGCAUCGGGAAAAGCCCAUAGGGCAGUG
RNAcentral lists this unclassified non-coding RNA (492 nucleotides) under Hevea brasiliensis (rubber tree). The record is from RNAcentral. Lineage: Eukaryota; Viridiplantae; Streptophyta; Magnoliopsida; Malpighiales; Euphorbiaceae.